AUUGAACGCUGGCGGCAUGCUUUACACAUGCAAGUCGAACGGUAACAGGCCUUCGGGUGCUGACGAGUGGCGAACGGGUGAGUAAUGCAUCGGAACGUGCCCAAUCGUGGGGGAUAACGUAGCGAAAGUUACGCUAAUACCGCAUAAGCCCUGAGGGGGAAAGCAGGGGAUCGCAAGACCUUGCGCGAAUGGAGCGGCCGAUGUCAGAUUAGCUAGUUGGUGGGGUAAAGGCCUACCAAGGCGACGAUCUGUAGCGGGUCUGAGAGGAUGAUCCGCCACACUGGGACUGAGACACGGCCCAGACUCCUACGGAGGCAGCAGUGGGGAAUUUUGGACAAUGGCGCAAGCCUGAUCCAGCCAUGCCGCGUGCGGGACGAAGGCCUUCGGUU
Molecule: ribosomal RNA, 389 nt
Filed under: uncultured bacterium
Lineage: Bacteria
Description: bacterial SSU rRNA
Rfam family: Bacterial small subunit ribosomal RNA
Source: RNAcentral